GGAGGCGUUGGGUGCCUGGUGGCCCUCCCGGUCUACAAAACCGAUGGGGCGGCGUUGACGUCGCUGGCGGGUUCGAUUCCCGUUCGCCUCCGC
Molecule: transfer RNA, 93 nt
Filed under: Planomonospora parontospora
Lineage: Bacteria; Bacillati; Actinomycetota; Actinomycetes; Streptosporangiales; Streptosporangiaceae
Also listed under: 3 other names
Description: tRNA-Cys
Rfam family: Selenocysteine transfer RNA
Source: RNAcentral